Molecule: long non-coding RNA, 1161 nt
Filed under: Salvia miltiorrhiza (redroot sage)
Lineage: Eukaryota; Viridiplantae; Streptophyta; Magnoliopsida; Lamiales; Lamiaceae
Description: long non-coding RNA (SMIL_LNC009326)
Source: RNAcentral
AAAUGAAGUAGGUCGCAAUUUUAAAAGUCUAGUUCGGUAAUUCAAGUCAAAGUAGACACAACCUAUUCCAAUCUUCCAACUCUUUCCACCAUCUACUCUCAAUCUACCUACGUCUUCAAUUUCUCUGAAAAAAAAUUAUUUCCACCACAAAAACAUAAUUGAAGUCUUUCCAAAAGAGAAAUUAAAAAUCAUCACUUUCCCACCAAACCCACAUCACACCAAAGUCUUCAAAUAACUCACUUGCCCCAAACAAUUCCCAAGAAAAAUCAGACAAAAAAAGAGAGAAAAAAAAAAAAAUAAAAAAAAGAAAUGGAAGGACUGAUUCCGGUUGUGUACAGAUCACUCAAGAGGAGCAGAAUCCGACGGCGUUACGAAUGCCUGUCGUCGGGCGCAACUGAAGCCUACAACAUCAAAGAUUUCGACGAUCAUUUAAACGGUGGGGCCCGCCUCCGCCGUUGCAGCUCCGUUAAGGUCGACGGCACGAGGAGCUUUGCCACCGUGGAUGAUGAUGAUGCAUACGAGCCUAAGCGGCUCGUGAGGUUCCGAAGCUACAGAGUGGUCUCGUGUUUAUGUGCUGCUGCAUAAAUGUUGUCUGUUUUUUAAUUAUUUUCUUUUCUUAUUAGUGAUUGUUAUAUGGAGUAUGAAUUAAUCGUUACAGUACUCGUUUUUCAAUUGAUUCAGAUGGGGAGUGAUUAAGCUGAUCAUAUCUCUGAGUUCAAGAGUAUUGUUUUCUCAAAUAUUACUGUCAAAAGAAAUCUAAUUUAAAAUUAUAGGCAAAAAAUUGUUUAUAUCCAGAUAUAUUGCGCAUCCACCAAUCCUCAAGUAGAAUUUGUUAACUUAGUAUUUAGGAUUUAUUAAUCAAAAUUAUAAUUUAAUUAAGGCGAAUGUAAUGUAAUUCUGCAUCCAGAUGUAUCUCAACUAAUUAAUUCUUUGUAGAAAGAACAUUUGUAAAAUAUAGUUAAUCACUGCGAUAAUCUUUCUGAAUUUUCUCGAUUAAUUGAAGCUCGGAAUUAAAUGGUGAUACAAUAUUCAGCAUAAUUAAUUUAGUCAAUUUCACAGCUCAUCAAGUUGCAAACAAAAUUAUUCUAAAAAAUUAAGCAAAUCAGAAAAUCGUGGAUGUUCAUAGAUGUUCUCCAACAUACAUGUCAGAAAAUCACAAAG